Long non-coding RNA from Homo sapiens (human), 1786 nucleotides. Ensembl annotates it as SDHA pseudogene 4. Its record names the gene SDHAP4. NCBI's taxonomy places the organism in Eukaryota, Metazoa, Chordata, Mammalia, Primates, Hominidae. The record is from Ensembl.
AGUCUGCGCAGGGACUGGCGGGACUGCGCGGAGGCGACUGCAGACGUAUCGGGGGUCCGGAGCCUGUCGCGGCUGCUAAGCGCUCGGCGCCUGGCGCUGGCGCUGGCCAAGGCUCCUUUACUGUUCCAGGAUACAGAUCUCCUGAUUCAGGUGUCCAGUGCCUUUUGAACUGAACGCAAGCCCUCCUGGACGAUUGGAACUGUAAUGUGGAAAGGGCUCUGAUGGAGCCAGUUAAAAUGCUUCAUUAUUUGCAAAAUACCACAUACAGUAAUACGAUCUGGAUGUCUUUCCCCUCCUCCACUAAGUAGCAUAAGUGAAGACUUCCCAGAGGAAGUGCGCCUUUUUCAUCUCGUAUCUGAGUCAUGGCCAACAGUGUUGCAAACAGGAACCCGAGGUGUUCACUUCACUGUUGAAGGAACGAGAGGGCAUCUGCUAAAGUUUCAGAUUCCAUUUCUGCUCAGUAUCCAGUAGUGGAUCAUGAAUUUGAUGCAGUGGUGGUAGGCGCUGGAGGGGCAGGCUUUGCGAGCUGCAUUUGGCCUUUCCGAGGCAGAGUUUGAUACAGCAUGUGUUACCAAGCUGUUUCCUACCAGGUCACACACUGUUGCAGCGCAGGUUGGAAUCAAUGCUGCUCUGGGGAACAUGGAGGAGGACAACUGGAGGUGGCAUUUCUAUGACACCGUGAAGGGCUCCGACUGGCUGGGGGACCAGGAUGCCAUCCACUACGUGACGGAGCAGGCCCCCACUGCCAUGGUCGAGCUAGAAAAUUAUGGCAUGCCGUUUAGCAGAACUGAAGAUGGGAAGAUUUAUCAGCGUGCAUUUGGUGGACAGAGCCUCAAGUUUGGAAAGGGCAGGCAGGCCCAUCGGUGCUGCUGUGUGGCUGAUCGGACCGGCCACUCAAUAUUGCACACCUCAUAUGGGAGGUCUCUGAGAUAUGAUACCAGCUGUUUUGUGGAGUAUUUUGCCUUGGAUCUCCUGAUAGAGAACAGGGAGUGCCGUGGUGUCAUUGCACUGUGCAUAGAGGACGGGUCCAUCCAUCACAUAAGAGCAAAGAACACUGUUGUUGCCACAGGAGUCAAGAAACUUUUCUUUUGAGCUAUUGACAGCUUUUAACAAGUUAUUAUACUCCUAUGAACAAAAUUUGGAGCAUAUUUGUUUCUCUCUGCCUGAUUUCUCCUGAAUUUGGAAACUAUUUGACAUGAGGAUUCUCAACCUGAUAAAAAUGAGCUUUCCUAAUAACUCAAGACCCAUCUGCCUAGGAAUAAACCAUCCCAGCUGUGAGAGACCAGACGAAACCUGAGACCAGAGACUCGUUUUCUUCUAAAAUGCUUUCUCCAAAAGAUUUUUAAACAGAAAAAGGGGGAAAUGUGAAAGGAAAAGAAAACUUGAGGCCCCCAAAAUCACUAAGCUAAAAGGAAAAGUCAAGCUGGGAAUGGCUUAGGGCAAACCUGCCUCCCAUUCUAUGCAAAGUCAUCCCUCCGUGCACUGAGAUAAAUGCUUAUCUAAUUGCCUCCUUUGGAGAGGCUCAUCAGAAACUCAAAAUAAUGCAACCAUUUGACUCUCACCUACCUGUGACCUGGAAGAUCCCUCUCUGCUUGAGUUGUCCUGCUUUUCUGGAUGGAACCAAUGUUCAUCUUACAUAUAUUGAUUGAUGUCUCAUGUCUCCCUAAAAUGUAUAAAACCAAGCUGUGCCCUGACCACCUUGGGCACAUGUCGUCAGGACCUCCUGAGGCUGUGCCACAGGCAUGCAGCCUCAACCUUGGCAAAAUAAACUUUCUAAAUUGACUGA